Molecule: ribosomal RNA, 393 nt
Filed under: uncultured bacterium
Lineage: Bacteria
Description: bacterial SSU rRNA
Rfam family: Bacterial small subunit ribosomal RNA
Source: RNAcentral
UAUUGGGCAAUGGGCGCAAGCCUGACCCAGCAACGCCGCGUGAAGGAAGAAGGCCCUCGGGUUGUAAACUUCUUUUGUCAGGGACGAAGCAAGUGACGGUACCUGACGAAUAAGCCACGGCUAACUACGUGCCAGCAGCCGCGGUAAUACGUAGGUGGCGAGCGUUAUCCGGAAUUAUUGGGCGUAAAGAGGGAGCAGGCGGUCGUGAAGGUCCACUGGUAAAAGACCGGGGCUAAACCCCGGUAGGCCGAGGAAACCGUACGACUAGAGUACAGCAGAGGAUCGUGGAAUUCCAUGUGUAGCGGUGAAAUGCGUAGAUAUAUGGAGGAACACCAGUGGCGAAGGCGACGAUCUGGGCUGAAACAGACGCUGAGUCCCGAAAGCGUGGGGAGC